Molecule: unclassified non-coding RNA, 450 nt
Filed under: Zea mays
Lineage: Eukaryota; Viridiplantae; Streptophyta; Magnoliopsida; Poales; Poaceae
Description: misc RNA Zm00001eb125580
Source: RNAcentral
AUCUCAGCAGCACUAGCAGUGACAAACUCGAAGCUUGCCUUCUUGUUUACACCCUAAAACUAAAACUAGAGUCGUCGGCGGCAACAAGCGGUACGUACGUAGAGGAUGAAGAGCAGGAGCAGCACUCUGUUGGUGAUCCUAGUUCUCCAGGCCCUUCUGCUCUCUGCGGCUGUGGCCAAAGGACCUGCAGGGCCGAAGAAGCAGUGCUGGUGCGGCGAGUGCACCAGCUGGUCGGGCGUGUGGACCUGCGACGACCUCCUCACCAAGUGCGCCGCCACCUGCAAGAACUGCGUCCCCGUGUCCACGGGCAAGGGCGCCACCAAGUACAGGUGCCGCGACUUCCUCCCCGAAAACUGCGGGUGCAAGAUCCACUAAACUCAUCCAAUUCCACCAUGGCCACAGCAGCCGAUGGAUCCUUCUUCCAUAUGCAUGUUCUCCUCCGUCCGUCCG